GCCGCCAUCGCAUAGUGGUAUUGCAACUGGCUUGAGACCAGUGCCCUUUGGGCUCCUCGGUUCGAUUCCGAGUGGCGGCG
Molecule: transfer RNA, 80 nt
Filed under: Candidatus Pacearchaeota archaeon
Lineage: Archaea; Nanobdellati
Also listed under: 1 other name
Description: tRNA-Ser
Rfam family: tRNA
About the family: Transfer RNA (tRNA) molecules are approximately 80 nucleotides in length. Their secondary structure includes four short double-helical elements and three loops (D, anti-codon, and T loops).
Source: RNAcentral